This 486-nucleotide ribosomal RNA is filed under the name uncultured bacterium. RNAcentral describes it as "bacterial SSU rRNA". It matches the Rfam family "Bacterial small subunit ribosomal RNA", at positions 28 to 528 of the family's 1533-position model. The record is from RNAcentral.
GAUGAACGCUAGCGGCAGGCUUAAUACAUGCAAGUCGAGGGGUCAGCAAUGACACCGGCGGACGGGUGCGUAACGCGUAUGCAACCUACCUACAUCAGGGGGAUAGCCCUAGGAAACUGGGAUUAACACCGCAUAAUAUUAUUAAUGGCAUCAUUGAUAAUUGAAAUAUUUAUAGGAAGUAGAUGGGCAUGCGUAAGAUUAGCUAGUUGGUAAGGUAACGGCUUACCAAGGCUACGAUCUUUAGGGGCUCUGAGAGGAGUAUCCCCCACACUGGCACUGAGAUACGGGCCAGACUCCUACGGGAGGCAGCAGUAGGGAAUAUUGGGCAAUGGAGGCAACUCUGACCCAGCCAUGCCGCGUGCAGGAAGACGGCCCUCUGGGUUGUAAACUGCUUUUGAAUGGGAAGAAUGUGUGGCUUGCGAGCUAUAAUGACGGUACCAUUAGAUAAGCCACGGCUAACUACGUGCCAGCAGCCGCGGUAAACGU